CGCAAGCCUGACGGAGCAACGCCGCGUGAGGGAGGAAGGCCUGUGGGUCGUAAACCUCUUUUCUCAAGGAAGAAGUUCUGACGGUACUUGAGGAAUCAGCAUCGGCUAACUCCGUGCCAGCAGCCGCGGUAAGACGGAGGAUGCAAGCGUUAUCCGGAAUUAUUGGGCGUAAAGCGUCCGUAGGUGGUUUAGAAAGUCAGUUGUUAAAGCCCAUAGCUCAACUAUGGAUCGGCAAUUGAAACUACUAGACUAGAGUGUGGUAGGGGUAGAGGGAAUUCCUAGUGUAGCGGUGAAAUGCGUAGAUAUUAGGAAGAACACCAGUGGCGAAGGCGCUCUACUGGGCCAUAACUGACACUGAUGGACGAAAGCUAGGGGAGCG
RNAcentral lists this ribosomal RNA (379 nucleotides) under uncultured cyanobacterium. RNAcentral's name for it is "bacterial SSU rRNA". It matches the Rfam family "Bacterial small subunit ribosomal RNA", at positions 376 to 770 of the family's 1533-position model. The record is from RNAcentral. Lineage: Bacteria; Bacillati; Cyanobacteriota.